This 250-nucleotide unclassified non-coding RNA is filed under the name plant metagenome. RNAcentral describes it as "partial contains small subunit ribosomal RNA, internal transcribed spacer 1, and 5.8S ribosomal RNA". The record is from RNAcentral.
GUAGGUGAACCUGCGGAAGGAUCAUUACCGAAGCGGGGAUGCCUUGAUAUUGGCUCCUUCGUUUAGCAGCCGACGGCUGUUGCAUGUAAAGUCGAGCCGAGUCUCGCACGUCUUGACCCGUAUGCUGGUGCGUUUGGCUUCGUAAUUGGAGCUGCCAGUGGGUUGGACGUUCUUAAAAAACAUAUUGGCGUGGUCGAUUGCAAAUUCUCACUGGUGGCGGAGCGUGUCUGCCGGUGGGGUGUGCAUAAGC